RNAcentral lists this ribosomal RNA (253 nucleotides) under uncultured bacterium. RNAcentral describes it as "partial 16S ribosomal RNA". It matches the Rfam family "Bacterial small subunit ribosomal RNA", at positions 524 to 776 of the family's 1533-position model. The record is from RNAcentral.
UACGAACCGUGCAAACGUUGUUCGGAAUCACUGGGCUUAAAGGGCGCGUAGGCGGACGACCAAGUCAGGGGUGAAAUCUUUCGGCUCAACCGGAAAACAGCCUUUGAUACUGGACGUCUCGAGGGAGGUAGGGGCAUGUGGAACUUCCGGUGGAGCGGUGAAAUGCGUUGAUAUCGGAAGGAACGCCGGUGGCGAAAGCGACGUGCUGGACCUCUUCUGACGCUGAGGCGCGAAAGCUAGGGUAGCGAACGGG